GUAUUAAUUUGCUAGUGUAUAUUCAGAUGGCAGCAUGGCAUGUGUAAGGGCUAGGUGGGGGGGUUGGGGUGCACAAGCUCUACUCACUGCGCCUGCCGGCGCAGCAAACAGCACCCGCCAGCGCAACAAACAGCACCCGCCCGCGCAAUAGGCAGCACCUCGCGGUGCCACCAACCACGCCUCGCGGCGCGAUCCAUGGCGCCUGACGGCGCAUCCCAACCCACUCCAAAAGUGCACAGGAACGUGUACCAACAGAUACGGUGAUGAUCCUUCCGCAGGUUCACCUACGAAAA
This 293-nucleotide unclassified non-coding RNA is filed under the name uncultured fungus. RNAcentral describes it as "sequence contains ITS1". The record is from RNAcentral. Lineage: Eukaryota; Fungi.